GUUGUAGUGGCCAAGUGGUUAAGGCUAUGGACUUGAAAUUCUUUGGGGUUUUCCCACCCAGGUUCAAAUCCUGGCGAUAACA
Molecule: transfer RNA, 82 nt
Filed under: Danionella translucida
Lineage: Eukaryota; Metazoa; Chordata; Actinopteri; Cypriniformes; Danionidae
Also listed under: 1 other name
Rfam family: tRNA
About the family: Transfer RNA (tRNA) molecules are approximately 80 nucleotides in length. Their secondary structure includes four short double-helical elements and three loops (D, anti-codon, and T loops).
Source: Rfam by way of RNAcentral